CCAAGGAGUUUAGCGUUCGCGCGAGUCACUGGGCGGCAAACCCAAAGGCGAAAUGAAAGUGAAGGAAGCCCGGCUUCCCGAGGGAGGACAGGCGCGCGUCAGCCGCAAGGCGGCCGCCUUGCACUCCCGGGGCGUCUCCGUCUCCAAGUGAGUGGAGGCGCACCUAUAGCGCGCACGCUGAUACCCGAAAGAUGGUGAACUAUGCCCGGCCAGGACGAAGCCAGGGGAAACCCUGGUGGAGGUCCGCAGCGAUUCUGACGUGCAAAUCGAUCGUCGGAGCUGGGUAUAGGGGCGAAAGACCAAUCGAACCAUCUAGUAGCUGGUUCCCUCUGAAGUUUCCCUCAGGAUAGCUUGCGCUCGUUAGAAGACGAGUCUCAUCCGGUAGAGCGAAUGAUUAGAGGCCUUGGGGUCGAAACGACCUCAACCUAUUCUCAAACUCCAAAUAGAUGAGAACCCCGGCUUGCUUGAAAGCAUGAAGCCGCCGGGAAAUUAUCGGAUCAGAGUGCAAAGUGGGCCAUUUUU
This 522-nucleotide ribosomal RNA is filed under the name Lipokophila eberhardi. Its description in RNAcentral is "eukaryotic LSU rRNA". It matches the Rfam family "Eukaryotic large subunit ribosomal RNA", at positions 666 to 1138 of the family's 3401-position model. The record is from RNAcentral. Lineage: Eukaryota; Metazoa; Arthropoda; Insecta; Hemiptera; Plokiophilidae.